CAGUAGCCACGGUAAUACGUAGGUGGCGAGCGUUGUCCGGAAUUAUUGGGCGUAAAGGGAGCGCAGGCGGACAUAUAAGUCCAUCUUAAAAGUGCGGGGCUCAACCCCGUGAGGGGAUGGAAACUGCUGAUCUAGAGUAUCGGAGAGGAAAGUGGAAUUCCUAGUGUAGCGGUGAAAUGCGUAGAUAUUAGGAAGAACACCAGUGGCGAAGGCGACUUUUUGGCCUGUAACUGACACUGAGGCGCGAAAGCGUGGGGAGCAAACAGGAUUAGAUACCCCGGUAGUCCCUGUCUCUUAUACA
Molecule: ribosomal RNA, 301 nt
Filed under: uncultured bacterium
Lineage: Bacteria
Description: partial 16S ribosomal RNA
Rfam family: Bacterial small subunit ribosomal RNA
Source: RNAcentral